AUGUUAUCAAGAAAGGCAGAGGGACUAGACCCGGUGAAGCCUUAGCAACCCUUUUUCUAAUUUAUAAAGAAAAUGAAGGUGCUACAUUCUACUGCAAAAGCAGAUAGAUAACCC
Molecule: non-coding RNA, 114 nt
Filed under: Mesonia phycicola
Lineage: Bacteria; Pseudomonadati; Bacteroidota; Flavobacteriia; Flavobacteriales; Flavobacteriaceae
Description: SAM-I sequence
Rfam family: SAM riboswitch aptamer (S box leader)
About the family: The SAM riboswitch is found upstream of a number of genes which code for proteins involved in methionine or cysteine biosynthesis in Gram-positive bacteria. The SAM riboswitch acts at the level of transcription termination control. The predicted structure consists of a complex stem-loop region followed by a single stem loop terminator region.
Source: Rfam by way of RNAcentral